UUCCCUGCGUGGUGCGUGACACUUGAUGGAAAUUUUAGAACCAACAAGAUUAAAACGGGAGUCUGACUUUAUGUAUGGCGUGUAGGCUUGAAUUUAUUUAAGAAACCCAGGAGUAUGUAAGAGGACACCCACCUGUGAAAACAGGUCCAUAAAAUUUCUUUACUUGACGGCUAUGGCGGGGGU
This 183-nucleotide non-coding RNA is filed under the name pig gut metagenome. RNAcentral's name for it is "6S / SsrS RNA". It matches the Rfam family "6S / SsrS RNA". Rfam says of the family: E. coli 6S RNA was the first non coding RNA to be sequenced, but its function was unknown until recently. It consists of 184 nucleotides that fold into an extended hairpin structure with a large single-stranded internal bulge. The record is from RNAcentral.